This 200-nucleotide unclassified non-coding RNA is filed under the name soil metagenome. RNAcentral describes it as "partial contains internal transcribed spacer 2 and large subunit ribosomal RNA". The record is from RNAcentral.
GGGGCUUGCUGCCGUGAGGCGGCUCCCCUUAAAAUCAUCGGUUUGGCCCGCAUCAUGCGGCUAGCACCUUUGGCGUUGUAUUUUCCUCGCCUUCGAUCGGUCUUGCUCGCUUCCGCGCCUCACCUCGACUUGCCCUUUGGGUGGCGGUCACUUCUUGACAAUCUGGCCUCAAAUCAGGUAGGACUACCCGCUGAACUUAA